GACGAACGCUGGCGGCGUGCCUAAUACAUGCAAGUCGAGCGAACCAAUAAGAAGCUUGCUUUUUGUUGGUUAGCGGCGGACGGGUGAGUAACACGUGGGUAACCUGCCUGUAAGACCGGGAUAACUCCGGGAAACCGGUGCUAAUACCGGAUAGAUUAUCUUUCCGCAUGGAGAGAUAAGGAAAGAUGGCUAUUGCCAUCACUUACAGAUGGGCCCGCGGCGCAUUAGCUAGUUGGUGAGGUAACGGCUCACCAAGGCGACGAUGCGUAGCCGACCUGAGAGGGUGAUCGGCCACACUGGAACUGAGACACGGCCCAGACUCCUACGGGAGGCAGCAGUAGGGAAUCUUCCGCAAUGGACGAAAGUCUGACGGAGCAACGCCGCGUGAGCGAAGAAGGUCUUCGGAUCGUAAAGCUCUGUUGUUAGGGAAGAACAAGUAUCGGAGGAAAUGCCGGUACCUUGACGGUACCUGACGAGAAAGCCACGGCUAACUACGUG
Molecule: ribosomal RNA, 498 nt
Filed under: uncultured bacterium
Lineage: Bacteria
Description: partial 16S ribosomal RNA
Rfam family: Bacterial small subunit ribosomal RNA
Source: RNAcentral